Molecule: ribosomal RNA, 266 nt
Filed under: uncultured Chlamydiales bacterium
Lineage: Bacteria; Pseudomonadati; Chlamydiota; Chlamydiia; Chlamydiales
Description: partial 16S ribosomal RNA
Rfam family: Bacterial small subunit ribosomal RNA
Source: RNAcentral
GUGGAUGAGGCAUGCAAGUCGAACGAAUAUCUAGCAAUAGAUAUUAGUGGCGGAAGGGUUAGUAAUACAUGGAUAACUUGCCUUUAACACCGGGAUAACGGUUGGAAACGACCGCUAAUACCGGAUGUGGUGCAACGGGGCAUCUCGUUGUUAUUAAAGUGGGGGAUCGUAAGACCUCGCGGUUGAAGAGAGGUCCAUGGGAUAUCAGCUAGUUGGUGUGGUAAAAGCUCACCAAGGCUAAGACGUCUAGGCGGAUUGAGAGAUUG